Podarcis lilfordi (Lilford's wall lizard) is the source of this 6803-nucleotide non-coding RNA. The record is from the annotation of a GenBank genome assembly. NCBI's taxonomy places the organism in Eukaryota, Metazoa, Chordata, Lepidosauria, Squamata, Lacertidae.
AGGGUUUGGCUUUGACCAGACGUAGGGAUGUGCGUGGCAAAAGCAAGCUAAUGGAACUUUUUGUUCCGUCUAGACAUUUUAGGAGCAAUGUUGACAAUAAACGAGGCAAAGAAAAUCCGGCAGAUUAAGUAAGAAGGCAAGUCUGAUAACCACAUGCAGCAAUAGGAGGUGUGGGAGAGAGACUGUAGUAUUUCUCUGUGUUCCAGGCUGCUUUAAUGGGCCUGCCUCUGUCUUCUGUUCCCUGUCAUUGACGAUUUUUAUGAAUAUGAAACAAAUGUUGGCUGGAAAGCAACCUUUCUGGAAUUUGUAGUACAAUAUGUGUUGAAUGGAUUAUGGAGGCAUCUUUUAAAAAAUCCAGAAGGAUUUCCUUUCUAUACACGAUUUAUCUCUGAGUGGCUGGGAUUCUUUGGUGUUUGGUUUUUUAAAUUAAAAAAAAAAGUGAUGAAAGAACAUAGAGACUGAAAACCCUGCAUUUAACUUGGCAUUUAAUUACUUUUACUCAUCCCAACAAGGCUUCCAGGGCACACAAAUUGAAGAAAAGCAGACCAUCACUUCAAAUGAAUAGUUAGAAAUUGUUCAUGUUUUCUCUAUAGCAUUGAAGAGAUGGAAGGUACAUCUCAAGAAUAAUUUUAUAUGAUGACAAAAUAAUAAUGCUGCUACCUUUGCCUGUAGCUUUCAGACGUUCAAGCGUUCCACAUUCUUUAUCUAGUUAUUCAGGGGUAGACAGUGGCCACGUGCACACAUGUUUUUCUAGAAUCAAUUGGCAUGAAGUACUUGGUUAUAUAUAAAAUUUCUAUGCUGCCCUUCACCCGAAGAUUACAUGGCAGUUUACAGUUUGUAGUGUACACACAAUGUAGAUCUACUGCGUAUAUUUUGCCCCUGAAAAACACAUCUUGAGAAACUAGUUUGAUUCCAAAAAUGAAAGCACGUUGCAGAUUAAUUCUGCAUUGACCUCCAGUGUGUCCAGUUGAAAACAAAUGUAGCGGUUCCAGCAAUAGUUUGUGUGUGUGUCUCCAUACCUUCCCAAUGGCAUUGUGGGUGGGUGUAUAUCAGUAUUGCAGUCGCCACAUCCUUCUUCAUUUAUCUGGAGGAAAAGUUGUGGAUCACCAAAUCAAGGGGAGGAUUUGCAAAUGUAUGUCAACUGGCCAAAUCCACCCUUGUAGAUGGCAGUGUGUUCAUGCAGAGUAGAGAUUUGAACUGGGUACUUAUCAUCUACUGUGCUAUGCUAGUUCUCACAUCUAAAAUGGAAAUCUAUUUAGUAUUAAAGCAUAUUCUUUCCCCCCUCCCCACAUAACCCAUCAGCCGUAGUAAACUUGGCUGGUGGUCAGGGAUGAUGGGAGUUGUAGUCCAACAACAUUUGGAUGCCAUCAUGUUGACUACCUCUUCCUCAUGGCAGAAGUUGUUCUCUCCUACCUCAUGAGUUCUCCUGUCAUAAUCAGCAAUAGGCAAAAUUACUUCCUUUCUCCUUUUGCUACCCUGCUAUAUGCAAACAGAUUAAAGAACAUUCCUUGACCCAGUUACUGUUGUAUUUUUGAAAAUAGGCACAGUGCAUGUCAGUUGAUGGAUUUAUGCAGUGGAUUUGUAUGUGAGUCUUGUGUGAUAAUGCACGGAAACAGCUAUGAUAUAUCCUACUAACACAUUUUUUGAAAACGCUUUCCUAAAAAAUAAUGCAACCUUUAAAUAUAGUGCAAACGUAUUUAUGCAUCUUAUGCAUCUUCUUUCUCUCUCUCUCUCUCUCUCUCUCUCUCUCUCUCUCUCUCCCCACACACACACUUUAGAAGUGUGACUGAAUCUAAGAUUCAAAGUUUUGUUUAAAUGGAUAGUCGAUGCACAUUUGUGGGAGAGUUGAGCUGUGCGUGAAAAGCUUCCAAUUCUCUGAAUUUCAUUGUCCUUGGAUUGCAGUGGAAGUUCCCUGCAAUGCAUCCUGGUUGAUGUGUUGAGACAGCAUCACUGCCCCGAGAUUUCCUACCCGCCUCCUUAUAAGCAGGUCAUUGCUGUUUGUGUUGGCAAAGCUGUAAAGCCUUGUGUAAGGCAGGAGGAGGCAGGAGGAGGAGGUGUUGGCAGCGUAUCAUGUGACUCUGCUCCAGACUCAUAAACAACCAUGUCAUGUGGCCUGUCCAGGGCUUCAGCGUAAAAGAAUAUGAAGGGACCUGCGUCUUUUAUCUCUUCCCUUUCAGCCAUUAGGAUGAUUCUUAUAUGUACAUAUUACGAGACUGAUUGAUUAGUAGAUUAACCAGGUCUCUUCUCCCAACUUCUUCCAAUUAGUUAUAUGGCUGUUUCUUUCCCUGGUGUGUUUUGUUGCGAAGACUCGCAUGCUAGUGUUUUUUUGGUCUUUAAAUGCAGGUUUUAAAUCACCAGCCCCAGUUUGUGCCUCUCUCCCCCACCCCCCUUUUGGUAAGUUGUCUGUCUAGAUUCUAGAAUAUUGGGGAAGAAGGCAUUCUUCAUAUUUCAAGGGCUUCUGGUUUUCUUUUCAAUAAUGCAAGUCACAGUACCACUUGUAACACUACCUGUAUGUUGUUAUGUACAAUCGGGGCAAACGUAUUUGCAUAAGCACAGUUAAUGAUGCAAAUGAAGAAAAUUCAGUUUGGCUUGAAACAGUUUGUUAUAGUUGAGUUUCUAAACAAAAGCGGAUGCCCCAUCAGUGAGCUACAGCCUUCCACGAAUAUUGAGAGAGGGCAAAGAGAUAUGGAUGGAUUUCACCAACCAAGUGUGCCUACAAAUCCCAUGUCCACCGGCCCCCAGUCAGCAUGGCCCAAUGCCAAAGAUAAUGGUUCAGCAAAAUCUGGAAAGCCAAAGGUUCACAACUCCUGCAUUAGACUGUUUUGGAUCAGUGGGCUGCCAUUUAGAGCAUUAAGUUUAAAGUUUCAUUAUUUUUGAACAUUUACAGUUUGAAAAGCUUUUGGCAGGAGGGUUUUUUUUUAGUUCAACCCUCUUAAUUCAUCUAUAAAAAUGCUUUCCUUGAAUUUGGUGGCUUGUGUCCAGCUAAAUGGUUUUUUGGAGUGGACCUAUUAAAAUUAACCAACCCACAUUAAGUCACAUUUAUACUGUACAUUCAAAGUGCUAUACUGUAACUACAUUUUAAACAGUCAGGACUAUCUCUCUCCCCCCCCCCCCGAUAAUUCUGGGAGUAGUAGUUUGUUAAAGGUGCUGAAAAUUGUGGGGAGGCCCCUGUUCCUUUCAGAGGCUACAAUUUCCAGAGUGGUUUAACAGGCAAACCUCCUUCCCAGGAAAUUCUAGGAAUUGUAGCUUGGGAAGGGAACAGGAGUUACCCAGCAACUAUCAGCAACCUUAUCAAACUACAGUUCCCAUAAUUCUGUGGGAGAUGCCAUGGUUCUUUAAAGUGGUAUCAUAGUGCUUUAAAUGUAUGGUGUGAAUGUGGCCUUAGUCAUCCAUGAAUUGCAGUAGGUCUCCUGUGGAGUAUGACUAACAUUUGAUGCAACCCUAUAUCUCUGCCUACGUCCCCAUCACUAAUCAUUACAUUAUACCCUGACAUAUGUUUUUUGUGGGGUUUUUUAAACCCAGCAAGGGAACUGUCCAUGUUUUUACAUCUAAUGAAUUACCUCUUUUGGAGCCUCCAGCAUAGUCUCGCUUGCAUAAGGGGUGCUGCUGCUGCUUGAUUGCUACCCAGCCCUCACACAUGGGUAUCUGCAAUACUCAUCUCUACUUGGGAACAGUUGCCUUAAUCCAGGGAUGAAAGAGAGGGUGGGAUGGCUGUUUUUCAGCUCUUUCUUUUAUAAUGGGAGCUGAAUUUACAAGCAAAAUAGGACUGGUAUGACUCUAUUGCUAAUUAUCCCCGUAAUGACUUCAGCCUAUGGCUCUUUUUGUUUUGUUUCAGGGGUUCCUAAUUGUUUGCAAAACAUGUUCUGAGGUUGGCAUCGCUUGCCAGAACUUGCUCUGGAAGCUUUCCUUUCUUUUCAAAACUCGCAGAUGAGUUCACUUCACUUGAACUUGGGGUUUUUUUGGGAGGGGGUUGCGACUUGGUACAGAGCUGCAUGUAUGUGGGGCCGUCUGUGUUUUGAAGAAGGAAGCAUUCUAGGAUUUGGGUAAGGGUUAGGGUUAGACCAAGUGUGGACUUGGACACCAUGGCAGCUUAAUUGCAAAUGAGGUGGUAAAACUGUUUCAGGAAUGCACUGCUUGAGACUUUGGUGGAGAAAUUUCACAUUAUUAUUUUUUAAAAAAAGAAAAACAACACUUCCUUGCGUGAGAAGGAGGUACCGUUUAUUGGUGACUAGAGCAGUUGUUUUGCAUGCAGAACGUUCCAACCUCUUCAUUUCAUAAAGCACAUAAUGGGAAAGGUCUGUCUCUCCUGCUCCCUCAUUGCCUGAGACCCUGGAAAGCUGCUGCCAGUCAGUGUUGGCCUAGAUCAGGAAUAGGGAGGUGCCCUGGCCCAUCCCCCUCACUGGCCCUGCUCCCUGCCCUACAGGAGUGCUUUUGCAUUACUGGAAAAUGCCCUUGAACCCUGAUUCUGUCUUAUCCCAACUUGCAGUCCUCCAGAUGUUGCUGAUCUACAGCUCCCAUCAAUGCCAGCAAACAUGGCCAAUGGCCUGUUAAUGGUAUUGUCAUUUAGCAACAUCUGGAUGGCCAACAGGUUGCCCACACUUGCCCUUUGCUUGCCUAGGAGGGACGCCUGUGUGUGGAAACCUCUGCCUUUUCUGUGGUUGGAAUAUAGUCCUCUGUAGAAGUCAUAUGCAUUGUUCCACACUCUGCUACCUGUGGCCCUAGUCUGUGAGGCUGAAAUGGGCCAGAAAGACAAAUAAUUAGCCCCAUGCAGCAUGGAAGGCUGAGUUAGAAGCUGGGGGUGUUUGGAGUUGUAUUCCAAAACACAUCGAGGUUAUCAGAUUGGGGGAAGGCUGAAUUAGAAGCUCCUGGUGGCCAAAUGCAUCUUCUUGGUUGCAUUUCUCACCUAUUCAAUAAUGUUGUAUUGAAUAUAGUUGGGCAAUAUGUUUUAGUACUUCUAUCAGUAUUAUAUGUUGAUAAGCAGUAGCAGGGAUUGAAAACUUUUGGCCCUGCCAGAAGUUGAUGAACUACAACUCCCACCAGCCCUGGUCAGCAUGGCCAAUGAUUAUGAGAGUUGUAGUUCACAUCAAAAAAAUUAAAGCGCUAUGGUACCACUUUAAAUGGUAAUGGCUUUCCCCCAAAGAAUUCUGGGAGCUGUAGUUUAAGAGUACUAUAACUCGGUGAAGGGGAGUAAGGAUCUCCCAAUAGUUCUCAACAGCCUUAACAAACUACAGUUCCAGAAUUCUUUGGGGGGAAUCCAUAACUAUUUAAAGCGACUUUAUAGUACUUCAGAUGUAUAGUGAAUGUGGCCCUGGAGGGCUAGAGAUUCCUUCAUGACUUACAGCUUGACACAGUACAGAAGAUUUAAAAACGUCUCCUACCCCAAAUUGUACACUUUCAGCCCAAACCAUUUUAAAUUAACAGAACUAUAGAGAGAAACAAAAAGUAGAAAAGGAAUUAUCUUUCAGACAUUUUGAUGUGGAGCUGUAUAUGAGGCAUGUAAUUUACACAUAAAUGGUCUCUGGUACCAGGUCUGAGAUGUACUGCCAAAACCCACUUUGUGUGUUCGAGUUUGGAGACGCUGCCUCAGUUAAGGCUUCUCUUUUGCAAAAAAACAAAAACAGCCCCGGGUUUGUUUCUCCCUGGGACACAAACCUGCCUUGUUAGGAAAUCAGCAAAGUUUGGGAGCCCACAAUACCUCGCAUAGCUCUGCACACAGCAACAAAGUGUAAAAAUGGGGCCCUCGGCACAAACAAGCAGUGGAGCGAUAAAUAUAGAAUACCGUCUCAAUUCCACUUUCAUUAGUCAUGGCCGGACAGUUGAGAGUUUAAUAAACUUAUAAGGAAUAUUGAAACAGCUUUGCAUUUAAAGCAACUCAUCAAGUUUUUAUAGUUGGUGGGGUUUUUAAAUUCAUAGGAGGAUCUCCUUCCUUUUUUUAGAACAUCGCCACAAGAAACGUGGAUUAACGGAGAUUAUAAAAUAUUGAUAAAAUAUAUGUUCUGUACAAGAGUGUGCUUUCUUUGCUUUCUCUCACACACAUAUACACACUGUCUUUUUCUCUUCCCAAUCUCUUCUGGUAAACACCAAAUGAUAUGUCAACCUUGUAGCAAUAUUAAAUGUUCCACCUGGUGGAAAAAAAUUUCUGUCACACAUUUCAAGUUGUUAACCUCCACGGUCCUUAGAGGCCUUCAGUCUCCUUAGCUCAGUCCCAUAAGGAAAGGGCCCAGUAUCUUUUCCUUAGUCGGGGAGAAGUCUGCUCAUAGCUAGGGGUCUGCUUUUGAGAAUCAUUUGCCACGUGGCCUGCUGCUUAAAUGUUUUGGGUGGGCGACAGCAUAGCUGUAGGCUCUAGCCGUGUGGCUGACUGAGAGUUAGCAUGGCUUGGGUGUGGUGAACCUUUGGCCCUCUAGAUUUGCUGGACUACAACUCCCAUCAGUCCCAGCAAGUAUGGCCAAUGGCAAGGGAUGAUGGGAAUUGCUAUUUCAUUUAAAGCUCACUUCCCACAAGACAUCCGGAAGCAAUUUACAAUACAAAGGCCUAUAUAAAACAGCUGAAAAUAUAAAAAACAACUUUCAAAUAUUCAAGAUACAGAAACAUUUGGAAUGUCACCUCCGACCCCAUCCAAGGAUCUGUCACUUGCCCCAACAAAAGUUGAAUUUUUGUAACCUUUUUUAAAAAACACCCCAAUAAUACUGUAUUUAGCAAUAUAUGCAAGACUGUGACUUACUUGAUCAGUAUGAGAUUUCUUAACUCUGUAAGGAAUUUGUCAGUGCAAAUAUCUAUAGUGACUUUAUUAUUCCCCCCCCCCC